Molecule: unclassified non-coding RNA, 1460 nt
Filed under: Leishmania donovani
Lineage: Eukaryota; Euglenozoa; Kinetoplastea; Trypanosomatida; Trypanosomatidae
Description: gene:LdHU3.31.5150(CDS-product:aldehyde_reductase _putative)
Source: RNAcentral
GACUUCAACGCAGACCGCGCCCAUAGAGAACACCUCCCCCCCCUCCCCCCAGCUCCCACGCCAUACUCCUCCCUUGCUGCUGGCACUACAGACACACAGGCUACCGCCAACCAUAUAUACCAUCUCAGCAACACUGUUGCCACCCAAGCAGUAACCACUACUGGCAGUGGCUGGGAGUGGGAACGCCGCUGUCGCCCCGCCUCUCAUAUCCUUUUCCAGUUAGUGGCCUUGGUGCACUUCAUUCCGCAGAACACCGAAGUCGGCUACCUGAACACUGCAUUUCUGCUUUCUCUCCAUUUUUGCACACACACGCACAACCCUUCAUCACCGUUCUCCCGUACUCGAGCUGAGAUGGCGGCUCGCCGUGUGGUGCGCCUGCCCGAUGGCACGGCGGCUCCAGCGCUAGGACAGGGCGUGUGGAUGAUGGGUGAAAAACCCGAAAACCGCACACGCGAGCUAGCGGCGCUGCGAGCCGGUAUGGAAGCGGGCAUGACGCUCAUCGAUACCGCAGAGAUGUACGGCAACGGCCGCUCCGAGCGACUUGUGGCAGAAGCCAUCAAAGAGACGCCACGUGAGCGGCUCUUCAUUGUCUCGAAGGUGCUGCCAACAAACGCAUCGCGGGCGACCAUUUUUCGCAGCUGUGAUGCCUCCCUCCAGAACAUCGGCACAGACUACUUGGACCUGUACCUUCUGCACUGGCGCGGCCGUGUUCCGCUGCCCGAGACCGUGACGUGCAUGGAGGAACUCGUCAAGAGCGGCAAGAUUCGCCGCUGGGGUGUGUCGAACUUCGACGUGGACGACAUGAAGGAGCUGUGGCGCGUCCCCGGUGGCGACAAGUGCGCGGUCAAUCAGGUGCUUUACCACCUUGGCUCCCGCGGCAUCGAGUACGAUCUCCUUCCCUGGCUCAGGGAGCACAACGUGCCAGUGAUGGCCUACUGCCCCAUCGCUCAGGCUGGCGAGCUCAAGUCGGAGCUGUACAAGAGCACUGUUGUGCAGAGCGUUGCGGCUCGCCACAACGCCACCGUCACACAAGUUCUACUUGCCUUUGUGCUGCGCAGCGGCCACGUCAUCGCAAUCCCACGCUCCAGCAACCCGGCGCACACAAAGGAGAACGCGGCGGCAGACAGCAUUGAGCUGACAGAGGUGGACAUGGCACAGCUGGACGCGGCGUUUCCUGCCCCCAAGCACAAGACGCACCUCGAUAUUGUAUGAGUAGAGUGCAGCGUGUAGUGCCGUCGUGUGAGACUACAACCCCAUUAUCUCUGCGUGUGCACACGUGCCUCGGCCUCUUGUUUUCCUCAGCAGCGAAGAGUCGGCGAUCCUUCUCUGCUCUGCAUAUGUUCCGUUGCGUCUCCGUUGGUUUGAGUUGUGCACGUCGAUACAGAGUGGCACGUUGCCUGCGUCGGUGGGCCAUGCGCAUAGCGCGUCGGGGAUGCGUGCAUUCCUGUGUCGUUGCACCG